GACGAACCGUACAAACGUUAUUCGGAAUUACUGGGCUUAAAGGGUGCGUAGGCUGCGCAGAAAGUUGGGUGUGAAAUCCCUCGGCUCAACCGAGGAAUUGCGCUCAAUACUACUGUGCUCGAGGGAGAUAGAGGUGAGCGGAACUUAGGGUGGAGCGGUGAAAUGCGUUGAUAUCCUAAGGAACACCCGUGGCGAAAGCGGCUCACUGGGUCUUUUCUGACGCUGAGGCACGAAAGCUAGGGGAGCGAACGGG
RNAcentral lists this ribosomal RNA (253 nucleotides) under uncultured bacterium. RNAcentral's name for it is "partial 16S ribosomal RNA". It matches the Rfam family "Bacterial small subunit ribosomal RNA", at positions 524 to 776 of the family's 1533-position model. The record is from RNAcentral.